CAGUCGCCGCGGGAAUACGUAGGGUCCAAGCGUUGUCCGGAUUUACUGGGCGUAAAGAGCGCGUAGGCGGUCUGUUAAGUGUAGAGUGAAGGCUCCGGGCUCAACUCAGAAAUUGCUCUGCAUACUGGCAGACUUGAGGAUGGAAGAGGUUUGUGGAAUUCCUGGUGUAGCGGUGAAAUGCGUAGAUAUCAGGAGGAACACCCAUGGUGAAGGCAGCAAACUGGUCCAUAUCUGACGCUGAGGCGCGAAAGCGUGGGUAGCAAACAGGAUUAGAUACCCCCGUAGUCCCUGUCUCUUAUAC
Molecule: ribosomal RNA, 301 nt
Filed under: uncultured bacterium
Lineage: Bacteria
Description: partial 16S ribosomal RNA
Rfam family: Bacterial small subunit ribosomal RNA
Source: RNAcentral